UUGGUGGCCUUCGGGAACGUCUGACACAGGUGCUGCAUGGCUGUCGUCAGCUCGUGUCGUGAGAGUGUUGGGUUAAGUCCGUAACGAGCGCAACCCUUGUCCUUAGUUACCAGCACGUUAUGGUGGGCACUCUAAGGAGGACUGCCGGUGACAAACCGGAGGAAGGUGGGGAUGACGUCAAGUCAUCAUGGCCCUUACGGCCUGGGCUACACACGUGCUACAAUGGUCGGUACAAAGGGUUGCCAAGCCGCGAGGUGGAGCUAAUCCCAUAAAACCGAUCGUAGUCCGGAUCGCAGUCUGCAACUCGACUGCGUGAAGUCGGAAUCGCUAGUAAUCGUGAAUCAGAAUGUCACGGUGAAUACGUUCCCGGGCCUU
This 375-nucleotide ribosomal RNA is filed under the name uncultured Pseudomonas sp. RNAcentral's name for it is "bacterial SSU rRNA". It matches the Rfam family "Bacterial small subunit ribosomal RNA", at positions 1010 to 1382 of the family's 1533-position model. Lineage: Bacteria; Pseudomonadati; Pseudomonadota; Gammaproteobacteria; Pseudomonadales; Pseudomonadaceae. The record is from RNAcentral.